This 57-nucleotide ribosomal RNA is filed under the name uncultured Meliniomyces. RNAcentral describes it as "partial 28S ribosomal RNA". The record is from RNAcentral. Lineage: Eukaryota; Fungi; Ascomycota; Leotiomycetes; Helotiales; Helotiaceae.
UUGACCUCGGAUCAGGUAGGGAUACCCGCUGAACUUAAGCAUAUCAUAAGCGGAGGA